Xenopus tropicalis (tropical clawed frog) is the source of this 1327-nucleotide long non-coding RNA. RefSeq lists it as uncharacterized. The transcript has 2 exons. NCBI's taxonomy places the organism in Eukaryota, Metazoa, Chordata, Amphibia, Anura, Pipidae. The record is from RefSeq and is a predicted model, not a curated record.
UGUAUGAAAGACUUUAUUAACUAAUAUGAAGUCAGAUAUUAGGGGCAGGCACUGAGGUAUAUCUAUGGGGGCAAGUAGGUGCCUGUAUAGAGACCAUUAUAGACUAAUGUGUAGUAAGAGAUUAGGGGCAGGCACUGAGGUAUUACUAUGGGGCAAGUAGGUGCCUGUAUAGAGAAUAUUAUAGACUAAUGUGUAGUAAGAGAUUAGGGGCAGGCACUGAGGUAUUACUAUGGGGCAAGUAGGUGCCUGUAUAGAGACCAUUAUAGACUAAUAUAUAGUAAGAGAUUAGGGGCAGGCACUGAGGUAUUACUAUGGGGCAAGUAGGUGCCUGUAUAGAGACCAUUAUAGACUAAUGUGUAGUAAGAGAUUAGGGGCAGGCACUGAGGUAUUACUAUGGGGCAAGUAGGUGCCUGUAUAGAGACCAUUAUAGACUAAUAUAUAGUAAGAGAUUAGGGGCAGGCACUGAGGUAUUACUAUGGGGCAAGUAGGUGCCUGUAUAGAGACCAUUAUAGACUAAUGUGUAGUAAGAGAUUAGGGGCAGGCACUGAGGUAUUACUAUGGGGCAAGUAGGUGCCUGUAUAGAGAAUAUUAUAGACUAAUGUGUAGUAAGAGAUUAGGGGCAGGCACUGAGGUAUUACUAUGGGGCAAGUAGGUGCCUGUAUAGAGACCAUUAUAGACUAAUGUGUAGUAAGAGAUUAGGGGCAGGCACUGAGGUAUUACUAUGGGGCAAGUAGGUGCCUGUAUAGAGACCAUUAUAGACUAAUGUGUAGUAAGAGAUUAGGGGCAGGCACUGAGGUAUUACUAUGGGGCAAGUAGGUGCCUGUAUAGAGACCAUUAUAGACUAAUGUGUAGUAAGAGAUUAGGGGCAGGCACUGAGGUAUUACUAUGGGGCAAGUAGGUGCCUGUAUAGAGACCAUUAUAGACUAAUGUGUAGUAAGAUAUUGGGGGCAGGCACUGAGGUAUUACUAUGGGGCAAGUAGGUGCCUGUAACAGAAUAUUAUAGACUAAUGUGUAGUAAGAGAUUAGGGGCAGGCACUGAGGUAUUACUAUGGGGCAAGUAGGUGCCUGUAUAGAGACCAUUAUAGACUAAUGUGUAGUAAGAUAUUGGGGGCAGGCACUGAGGUAUUACUAUGGGGCAAGUAGGUGCCUGUAACAGAAUAUUAUAGACUAAUGUGUAGUAAGAGAUUAGGGGCAGGCACUGAGGUAUUACUAUGGGGCAAGUAGGUGCCUGUAUAGAGACCAUUAUAGACUAAUGUGUAGUAAGAGAUUAGGGGCAGGCACUGAGGUAUUACUAUGGGGCCAAGUAGGUGCCUGUACAGAGACCAUU